AUCUGACCUCAGAUCAGGCAAGGCUACCCGCUGAG
RNAcentral lists this ribosomal RNA (35 nucleotides) under Anthoceros punctatus. RNAcentral describes it as "partial 26S ribosomal RNA". Lineage: Eukaryota; Viridiplantae; Streptophyta; Anthocerotopsida; Anthocerotales; Anthocerotaceae. The record is from RNAcentral.